GGGAGAAUAGUCUAGUUUGGUUUAUGACUCUAGCCUCGGGCGCUGGUAACUGGGGUUCAAAUCCCCAUUCUCCCA
RNAcentral lists this transfer RNA (75 nucleotides) under Candidatus Aenigmatarchaeota archaeon. RNAcentral's name for it is "tRNA-Pro". It matches the Rfam family "tRNA". From Rfam's summary of the family: Transfer RNA (tRNA) molecules are approximately 80 nucleotides in length. Their secondary structure includes four short double-helical elements and three loops (D, anti-codon, and T loops). Lineage: Archaea; Nanobdellati; Candidatus Aenigmatarchaeota. The record is from RNAcentral.